This 402-nucleotide long non-coding RNA is filed under the name Vicia faba (fava bean). Lineage: Eukaryota; Viridiplantae; Streptophyta; Magnoliopsida; Fabales; Fabaceae. The record is from RNAcentral.
AUGAAUUGGAGAGUGGAUCCAGAAUCCUGUGAUAAAGGUAUUGGUGCAAAGGUAUUCAUUAUCUUGUUGUUUUGCAAACACAAAACUGCUAGACAGAUCCCAUACGUCACGCAAGGUAACAUACUUGAUACCAGCAAAAAUGAGAUUCUUCGCAAUCUCAGCGCCAAGACCCUGCAUCCCCGGCAUAAGAACUAUAGGAUCAAAGAGCCUACACAUGGCCUCUCGACCAUACACUGCACGAUGCCUGCUAUGCAGAUCUUCAUCAAUAUCCAUCGAACUAGCAUCUCCCAAAGUCAUGACUACAUGGCCAAGAGCAACCUACUUAACCUAGUAUUGAACCAGUUUCUCUCUUUACUGUUUAGUCAGCAAGGUGUUUUAUUCAUAAUCCUAGCUUGCAGUUAA